This 244-nucleotide ribosomal RNA is filed under the name uncultured bacterium. RNAcentral's name for it is "partial 16S ribosomal RNA". It matches the Rfam family "Bacterial small subunit ribosomal RNA", at positions 524 to 765 of the family's 1533-position model. The record is from RNAcentral.
UACGUAGGUGGCAAGCGUUAUCCGGAAUUAUUGGGCGUAAAGCGCGCGCAGGCGGUUUCUUAAGUCUGAUGUGAAAGCCCACGGCUCAACCGUGGAGGGUCAUUGGAAACUGGGGAACUUGAGUGCAGAAGAGAAAAAGCGGAAUUCCACGUGUAGCGGUGAAAUGCGUAGAGAUGUGGAGGAACACCAGUGGCGAAGGCGGCUUUUUUGGUCUGUAACUGACGCUGAGGCGCGAAAGCGUGGG